Molecule: ribosomal RNA, 368 nt
Filed under: uncultured organism
Description: bacterial SSU rRNA
Rfam family: Bacterial small subunit ribosomal RNA
Source: RNAcentral
CGUAGGUGGCAAGCGUUGUCCGGAUUUAUUGGGUUUAAAGGGUGCGUAGGCGGCUUUGUAAGUCAGUGGUGAAAUACUCCAGCUCAACUGGAGAGGUGCCAUUGAUACUGCAGAGCUAGAGUACUGAUGAGGUAGGCGGAAUGGACGGUGUAGCGGUGAAAUGCUUAGAUAUCGUCCAGAACACCGAUAGCGAAGGCAGCUUACUAAAGAGUAACUGACGCUGAGGCACGAAAGUGUGGGGAUCAAACAGGAUUAGAUACCCUGGUAGUCCACACUGUAAACGUUGAUCACUAGAUGUUGGCGAUACACUGCCAGCGUUCCAGCAAAGGCGAUAAGUGAUCCACCUGGGGAGUACGCCCGCAAGGGUG